This is a long non-coding RNA of Rhodamnia argentea, 167 nucleotides long. RefSeq lists it as uncharacterized. NCBI's taxonomy places the organism in Eukaryota, Viridiplantae, Streptophyta, Magnoliopsida, Myrtales, Myrtaceae. The transcript is spliced from 2 exons. The record is from RefSeq and is a predicted model, not a curated record.
CUCGACCUUAAACUUGCUAAUUCAGUCUCCACAUUAUUGAAGCUUCACUGGCCGAAAUUCAUCUCUGAGUAUCUGCACAUGCAAAGAUAUCACCGGGAUUGAGGCAUAACGCAUGUGUAGAGAGAGAGAGAGAGAGAGAGAGAGAGAGAAGGGGGAGGAGAGAUUUU